GAAAGAGGAGUAGAGGGGGUGACCUAAACAGCAGGACUGCUUCCACCAUCUUAGACUGUAUUGAUUAUUCUUUGCUCUCACACAUGCUAGCUCUCUUUCUCUCCCCUUCUGUCCCUCCCUCCCUCUUUCUGUCUGUUCUGCCACCUUCUCUACUCGGCGAUCAGCGUUUGGCUUUUUCCAUUUGUGGCAGAUUACUGUAACGCUAUUGUACAACAACUUCCUGCCUCCUUUGGCUCUGGUUCUAAAAACUGCAGAGGCAGAGCUCGUGGCUUAAACUUUUUCCCCUCGGCCUUGAACUAGAGGAACUCUAUAUGGAAAGAAAAAGAAGGAAGGGGAUUUGUAAAGUAUCUGUUACAGAGGAACUAUUUUGAUUUUAUUUCUCCUUUAUAAACUGCUGAGAAUUAAAGAGGGCAAGAGGGGACUACAUCCUAUAGCAGAGACAAUGGGAGGAGAAAAAAAAGGAUUCUGAAUGAAGACGAUGAAGAAGGGAGACACGAAGAGAAAAAGAGCAGGGGCAAGCUCCUCCUGGGAACAAGCUGGAAAUUAUGGACCUAUUCGAUAUCAGACCUCAGAGUGGACAACCUAUCCUAGGAGGGACGCGCCCUAACUGUAACUAACAACUACUUCUGGCAGCCCCUGAACAGCCAGGCAUAUUGUCCUGGAUCUGGGCCUCUUUCAUGAGACACCAUUGAAAAAGGCAGUUGUGGGAACAAAUGAGCAUCUAAAUAUGAAUUGGCAAUAUUUUAUAUAAAAAUUUUAUAACACUACAUUAAAAAGAAGUUUUUUUUUUUUUUUUUUUUAUGUCUUAACUAUAAACUAUGUUCCCUUCAGGAUUUUACACAUUAAGAACGUUAAGGGGCCAUAAGAAAGGAUUUCCACAUUAAAUGCAUGCAAGCAUAAUUUUCUCUUUUUAGUGAUAUGUUAUAAUUAAUGAUAAAAUACUUGAAGUAAAGAAGAUCUAACUCUUUAGAUGGGGUAAUAUAACAGCCAUCAAUGACAGCAGAAGCAAGUUUAGGCUGUUUAAAUUAAUGUAAGAAGUAUGGAGUCAAAUGUAAAAUCGCUAGAUGUUAUGAAAGUGAAAAAAUGGCAAUUUAUCAGUGCUGAAACAAAUUUUCUCUUUUUCUCUUUCCAGACAUUUUAGUGUCGGCCCCUGUCAAACACAGAAACUGGGUAUUAUCUGGUGUUAGCUAAGCUGCACUGGGAAAACAUUGGCCUGUGUUACUAAGUUACCUGAAGUGCCAGUAGAAACUCUCAAAGGUCAACGAUGUAUAAGUAAAAGAAAUAACUAUUUCUCCUUUUUUCUUGGUCCACUUGACUAGCUACGUCUGCCUUUUACAUACCUGAACUCUGCCUUUGGAGCCCUCCACCGCCACCACCAACUUUAGUACCAACUUUAAACAGCCUCGGCCAUUUUCUUUAGCUCUCCCUCGUCACUGAGCCAGGAGAGCACAAGCCUGGUGUUUUAUGGGCCACGUCACAACGACUGUGUCUGCGCCACAGACCUGCGAGGAGUCCAGAUAGCUCAGUCAUGCACACUUCACACCUCAUUUUAUGCGUGGUGGUUUGUUAUCCCUCACACUGACUAGCAUUUUUGCUAAAACAAGAACAACAAAACAAUUACCUAACGCACUUUAUCAAUUUCAUAAACAUGUUCAGAUUCUGGUGCCUUCUCCAGCGCAAAGCUACCUGACCCCAAAUCAUUUCACAGCACUCUCUUUCCUCUGAUUUCAACAGCAAUGUUAGCUCAAAGGAAUCAUGUAAAGCAGAAAUGUUCUUCAAGCAGCAGAACCUUUUAUGAGGUUCAUAUUGAUUUAACUUUGUGCAGUGUAAAUAAAUCUCCAUCAUCUCCAUCAAAGAGGGGGUCACCGACCUGACACUGGUUUGAAUGUAGCACUACUGAAAAGCACUGAUUAGCUGAAUUCCAGUAGGGUUGACAAACUAUAACUGACAUGUGUGAUGUUAUUAGCAGAAGGACAUUCUCUAUGUUGGAGCAAAUCAGUCUAUGGGCUGGUUCUGCUGAUUUCCCAGCUCUGCCACUACCUGCAAAACACAGUUUUCCAAAGAAGGAAAAAAAAAACAAUUGUGUAAAAGAGAUGCUUCGUAUUACAGCCAUCACUGUAUGCAUCUAAAACUGUAUGUUGCACACUAUUCAUUUCAAUACAUUUGCCGAUUAUGAAUCUUUAGCUUACUUUGAACUUAUAUUUACUUGACAUAUUUUAAUGCAAGGUUGCACUAAAAUAUAUGAUCACUUACUAUCACUCAAAGAUAUCAGUGAAAGUCUAACCCUUCACGGUACAGUGAUUAGGGUUAAUUUCCUGCAUUUUUAGAGAAUAACUGUUCAGUAACUUAAAGUUGGCAAAUUAGUUUGUGCAGAUGCAGUGACCGAAUCUAUUUCCCUGCAUUCUCUUUGUGCCCAUUAGUGGAGCAUGUGCUCAUAGUGAGGAGCUCGGUCAUCUGAGGACACGCACAUUGUAGAAGGGGGUUGUUUCAUUCAGCCUGAAUCUUUAGGUUUACCGUGGUUCUCCCAGUGUAAUUCUGUGUAAUGACAACUAUUUGCUUUCACAGCCUCAUACAAAUAAUGAUACUGUAUAGAUUACACUGUAUGCUGCUUGUACUGAGAUGCCGGGUGCAACGAAAAAAUUAGCUGAUUUAUCUAAAUAGUUUUUUGAGGAGUAUGUGUAGCCUUAAAAUAUCUAGCUUGCUUUUUGAGUGAAGUGUGCGAUAAAAAUCAUAACUCCAUUGUCAUCUUUAUGUCCCAUGAUUUUAAAUUGUUUUUAUGAACACAACUCCUCUCCUAAUGACAGUUGCUACAAAAGCAAAAUACAACAGUUCAUGUGAGCUACAAUAUUUCACGUAUUCCUUCUCUGUAGACGUUGUGUUCUUCUUAUGCUAAACUGUGCUGACGGUGAUGGUGUAUAAUAGUACCACGUCCUGCCAACACUACCAUCAUCGUCGUCAGGUUAAAGGUGUCAACAGCAUGCGGGGAAACUGCCGCAUGACGGCCCCUGACCUCUCACACCAGCUCAGAGAGGCAGAGGGUCAUGCAGAGGACACGACGGUGGAGAGAAAAGUCAAUCUUAUCCUUCCAUUCUGCCACAGGCCUUCGUGCAGCGACAGAAAGAUGAGCUAGAGGGCUUUCCAAAAUCCACACUCGUUUGGCUGGGAGCAAGGCGUCAGACCCGUGUGUGUUUCAAAGGAAUUGCUGAGGAAAGCGAUUUUUAUGGCAGCACCCCUUCACUUGACAGUAUGUUUUAGCCUGCCUCUCUGUCUUUGCUCCAUCCCAACCUCAACUUAAUAUCCCGCUACACCAAUUUCUGUCAUCUUUAGUGGCCAAAAUGGCGUGCGGCCCACUUGUCUCCUCGUGGUAGAGAGCUCUACCUUGUCUCAUCUUAAUAUGGCUCUCACACAUAUGGACACUUUUUUAUCAUUAUCUCCACACGUUACAAAAUCCUCGGGAUCUGCUGAGCGGCAUGGAGCAGAGGGGUUAAAAGGCAGGAGGCAGCGAAAUGAAGGCAGAGAAAAGCCUGAGCUCUCGAACUCCUCUCAGUUGAGCCUGUGCUUCGAUAAUGGGGAGGUGAUAACCUGGCACAGAACCAACCACUAAUGCCCCUUAAAUGUCAGACUGCAGAAAGGAAAGGAGAAGCAAAAAUGGGAGCACAUUCAUAUUUCAGCUUGGCAAAUGCUAUAAUGCAUUGAUGCCUCACAGUGAGGGCAAGGAAGAAUCCCAGAAGAGAGAAAAAGGGCGGAUAUGAUAAAGGGGAAAUGAAAAAGAAAAAAAAAAAAAAGGUGUGGGGGGGGUUGGUUGCAGUGAUGGGAGCAGCCACAUCUGACGGUUGUCUCUAUUCGACAAAGUUCAGUGUAGAUCCGUUUAACUCUCUCUCUCUCUCUCUCUCUCUCUCUCUCGCUUUCUACACAGACGAAAAUCUGACAAGGUGGGGGUCGGGGGACAGGGUUGAGUCUAGUGUUGGGGGUGGGGUUGGAUUGCUGGAGAGAGUGAUCUUUUUUUCCAGCGGGGUGAAAGGCGGAUGGUCAUGUGUGCAGAGCUCAUGACAAAAGGCCCUUUUAUGUGCAGCGUAUGCAGAUAGAGGAGGCUCCUUUGUGCACAGAUGGAGAUCCCAUGCCUGGGUCUGCCUGCGGCGGAGAGGGAAGGGAGGGCGGAGAGAAGAGUGUUGGUGAAGGGAAGAGAGGGGAGGGAGGGGUGUAUCUGGCACUGAGUGCCAUCACUGUGUCUGGUGGGGGAUGGGGCACAGAAAAGCAGAACCAAGUCGUCCUGGUCCUACCAGGUUCAUACAUUUAGGAGGAGGGGCUACAAACCUUACUAAGAGGAUACAGAAACUGGUAACACGAUAGUCAAAUCACAGAAAAGGUCCUCCAACUGCCUAAGUGGACCAGGGUCAAAUAUUAAUUGCAAGUUAUCUCUAGUAUUUGUUUCAUCAGCUUGUGAAAAUGUGUUCUGUCACACACAAUGCCAGACAGUUAAUACUCAAAAGCCUGUAAAACUGAUACAAAGGAUUAUAGGCUUAAAAAAAGAAAGAAAAUAAAGCAUAACCUACUUUUUAAUGCCAAAUAUUACAUAAUCCUAACAAACUGAAUCUAAAAAAAUAAGUUACUUUUUAAAAUCUAAAAAGCUCAAACUGUGUAAGGCAUCAAGGUGGAAAAAUGUCAAGUUCACCUUUAAACUCUGUCUCCUUAUUAAUACGUCAGUGCUGUUGCUUUAACUCCUUGUUGUUUAAGUUUGCUGCUCAUAAUUGAUCAAUCUCUAGUUAGUGUUAAAUGUUGAAAUGAGUCUAGCUGUUUUUUAAAUGUUUCACUUUUGAAAAGUCUGUUUUGCCUUUGAACUGGUAAUGUUGAGUAUUUGACCCCUAAUAAAUGCCUUAAAUGCU
Melanotaenia boesemani (Boeseman's rainbowfish) is the source of this 4883-nucleotide long non-coding RNA. RefSeq lists it as uncharacterized. Lineage: Eukaryota; Metazoa; Chordata; Actinopteri; Atheriniformes; Melanotaeniidae. The record is from RefSeq and is a predicted model, not a curated record. The transcript is spliced from 2 exons.